Molecule: long non-coding RNA, 1468 nt
Organism: Poecilia latipinna (sailfin molly)
Lineage: Eukaryota; Metazoa; Chordata; Actinopteri; Cyprinodontiformes; Poeciliidae
Exons: 2
Source: RefSeq, a predicted model, not a curated record
UUACACAGGAUAACAUGCAACACAAACGUAAAUAAAUCUAAAAUAAAAAACAAAUAUACAACAUAUUCUCACAAUAAUUUUGCCCUUAAAACUGCACUAUGCAACUUUUAUAGAAGUUUUUUUUUUUUUUUACAUGUUUAUUAAAACAAUCACUAUUCUAUGACAGCAUGGUAUGAGAUAGAUAAUCUGUGCAAAAAAAAAUCAAUCUCUACUCUUUUCUUCUAAUGCUAAUGUAACCCAGGUUAACAUAAUCUUCACUAAAUGUAAGCCUUUUCAGAAAAAUAGCUAUAAAAUAGAUAAAUAUGACAUAAAUAAAUAAAUAGGAGAAUAAAUAGAGAAUAAACAGGUCUUAAACCGUUAGAAAUAUACAAAGUAAUAAUUACAGACAUCAUAAGUGUUGUAUGUAAAAACAUAUUAUGAUAUUUAAUUUGGUUAAAAAUCUGUAUAAAAAACAGUUUUAUUUUGUCAGCAGCUAAAACGGUCAAGCGUGAGAUAAAUCUCUUAUUCUGAAGGGUCACAUUGAUGUGUAACCCAUGUGACUAGCUCCAGCUACGUUCUCUGGCGCCAGAAGAAGCAGAGAGCGCAAAGAAGAAGCAAAGAAUAAAGAAGCUUAGAGAGUUGUGCUGUGAACGAAAAAAAGAUAAGAGAAAUCGACGAUUAAAAACAUUUUUUCCAUUUUUGGAGAAGGAGCGUUCUGCAUUUUUCAACCUGACUGCGUUUGGGAUUGUGUUAUAUGUUACAGAACUGGACUUGGCCUUUUUGAGGUUCUGCUGGAAAUUGGACCGGGAAAUUCCGAGUCGAUUGCUGAAUUGGAUUCUGCUAGUGAGAAACAAGAUGGCAAGCCGUAACCCAGGAGCCCUUUAACCGUCUAGCAGGAGCUACGCCCUCUGCUGGACAUUGCAAAUCAUCCACACUGGUAUGACCUGCCCAUGUUUUCCUGCUGAAAUAGCGCUGGAUUCAGAGAAACGGGAUUAACCCUUCAGGAUCAUCAGAGAGAAAAGACAUCGAUUUGAAGCACAAGUUAUUCGGUCUUUUGCUGGAUUGUGUCUGUUGUAUUUUAUUGUUCUUUUUCCUUUGAACCACAUUCAAUGUCUGUUACAGUGUGUGGAAUGUAAAAUUGUCUGUUGGGUUAAAAUAGAAAUAAGAAAUGGUUAAAACGGGAAAUUAAAAACUUUAACUUCUGAAAAGAACACUAAACUAAAAAUAGAUUUAAAAGAUUAAAACAAACUGAAUUAAAUAGAUUAACAGUAUCAACUUGAACUUAAAUAGAACUAUAACAUAGGUUUAAAUAAAUAGUAUCCUUUAAUACCUAACAAUAGGUUUAAAUUUAAAAAAUGGGAUUAUACAAAAUAUUUGGAAAGAAACAGGGAAACUAUUUUGUAUUGAAUUUGUGUCAUUGUAUGUAAACUGUAUAAUUGUUGUUUAUUUUCUUUUUCUACAAAAAUAAUUAGCCGGCAGUUUAAACUUA